Molecule: ribosomal RNA, 495 nt
Filed under: uncultured bacterium
Lineage: Bacteria
Description: partial 16S ribosomal RNA
Rfam family: Bacterial small subunit ribosomal RNA
Source: RNAcentral
GACGAACGCUGGCGGCGUGCCUAAUACAUGCAAGUAGAACGCUGAAGGAGGAGCUUGCUUCUCUGGAUGAGUUGCGAACGGGUGAGUAACGCGUAGGUAACCUGCCUGGUAGCGGGGGAUAACUAUUGGAAACGAUAGCUAAUACCGCAUAAGAGUAGAUGUCGCAUGACAUUUGCUUAAAAGGUGCACUUGCAUCACUACCAGAUGGACCUGCGUUGUAUUAGCUAGUUGGUGAGGUAACGGCUCACCAAGGCAACGAUACAUAGCCGGCCUGAGAGGGGGAUCGGCCACACUGGGACUGAGACACGGCCCAGACUCCUACGGGAGGCAGCAGGAGGGAAACUUCGGCAAUGGACGGAAGUCUGACCGAGCAACGCCGCGGGAGUGAAGAAGGUUUUCGGAUCGGAAAGCUCUGUUGUAAGAGAAGAACGAGUGUGAGAGUGGAAAGUUCACAAUGUGACGGUAUCUUACCAGAAAGGGACGGCUAACUACGUG